AGUGAACGCUGGCGGCAGGCCUAACACAUGCAAGUCGAACGGCAGGACAGUAAGAGUUUGCCUCUACGGGUGGCGACUGGCGGGUGGGUGAGGCAUACAUAGGCAUCUACUUUUUCUGGGGGGAUAACGUGAGGCCACUGCUGCUAAUACCGCAUAUUAUGUACGGGUUGAAGCAGGGGAUAUUCGCAGCUUUGCUGUCUCAAUGAGCUGAGGUCGGAUUAGAUAGUUGGUGGGGUAAAGGCCCACCAAGGCAACGAUGCGUAGCUGGUCUGAGAGGAUGAUCAGCCACACUGGAACUGAGACACGGUCCAGACUCCUACGGGAGGUAGCAGUAGGGAAUAUUGCGCAAUGGGCGCAAGCCUGACGGAGCAAUGCCGCGUGGGUGAUGAAGGUCUUCGGAUUGUAAAACCCUUUUAUUAGGGAAGAAAAGCUGCAGAAUAAAAUGCCGAUGUUUUGACGGUACCUAAAGAAUAAGCAACGGCUAACUUCGUG
This 492-nucleotide ribosomal RNA is filed under the name uncultured bacterium. RNAcentral describes it as "partial 16S ribosomal RNA". It matches the Rfam family "Bacterial small subunit ribosomal RNA", at positions 29 to 507 of the family's 1533-position model. The record is from RNAcentral.